This 513-nucleotide ribosomal RNA is filed under the name Triticum aestivum (bread wheat). Its description in RNAcentral is "partial small subunit ribosomal RNA". The record is from RNAcentral. Lineage: Eukaryota; Viridiplantae; Streptophyta; Magnoliopsida; Poales; Poaceae.
AUGGCGGCGUUCCUGAGGUCAAAGUGCUCCUCAGUUGGGCGUACGUUGAUGGGAAGCGUUGGAAACAAUCUGAAUGGGGGUAUCAAUUCCUCUGCUGAAACUGUGACAAGACCAUCUCACUGUGAUGCUAUCAGCCAGCAAAUCAGGACAUUCAUCCAGAUGAGAACCAACCUCAAGGUGGUAGACAACUCUGGAGCCAAACGGGUCAUGUGCAUACAGUCCUUGAGGGGGAAGAAAGGAGCAAGGCUAGGGGACAUGAUAAUUGGUUCUGUGAAGGAAGCGCAACCUCGCGGCAAGGUCAAGAAAGGUGAUGUGGUCUAUGGUGUGGUUGUCCGUGCCGCUAUGAAGAAAGGACGUAGUGACGGCAGCGAGGUCCAGUUCGAUGACAACGCUAUCGUCAUCGUGAACAACAAAGGCGAGCUGAUUGGCACUCGCGUCUUCGGUCCUGUUCCCCAUGAGCUCAGGAAGAAGAAGCAUCUCAAGAUCUUGGCAUUGGCUGAACACAUAGUUUGA